This is a long non-coding RNA of Hydractinia symbiolongicarpus, 491 nucleotides long. RefSeq lists it as uncharacterized. The record is from RefSeq and is a predicted model, not a curated record. The transcript has 2 exons. NCBI's taxonomy places the organism in Eukaryota, Metazoa, Cnidaria, Hydrozoa, Anthoathecata, Hydractiniidae.
UGCAAGUCUUCUAUUUCUUCUUCCAACAGUUGACUAACCGGAGCCCUCGUUUGGCUCUAGUUUCUUCGUCAUCCAUCGAAAAAUGAUACGUGUAUUGGAAAUGCGAAGUAUCUUUUUAUCAUUGUUGUUAUAUAGUGCUUAUUUAGGCUGUUAAUGAGUCCCGUGUUGUUUCGUCACUUACAAAGACGUGGCUUGCAGGUGUACAUAUUUGUACUUAACACAGACGACGAUUUCGAAUACUGUUUAAACAAACUUGGAGCAACCGGCGUUAUGACGGACUAUCCGACGAAAUUGUCGGCGUUUUUAAAACGGCAAGCUGAUGAAACGGAACCUAUUUUACCUUCAAAAGCCAGCGACUAAAAAAACUUUAAAAUUUUAUAGAAUUUUUUGAAUUUUAAAUUUAGAACAACACUACUUGGAUGUAAAUUUGUAUCACUGUUUUUAAUUUAUUUAAUUUUUCUUUAUUUCUAAAUAAUUUUUUCUUUAAUCUA